RNAcentral lists this transfer RNA (70 nucleotides) under Marmota monax (woodchuck). RNAcentral describes it as "tRNA.Ser". Lineage: Eukaryota; Metazoa; Chordata; Mammalia; Rodentia; Sciuridae. The record is from RNAcentral.
GGUUGUGGCUCAGUGGUUAGAACACUCACCUAGACCAUGUGAGGUGCUGGGUUCGAUCCUCAGCACAGCA